RNAcentral lists this ribosomal RNA (552 nucleotides) under uncultured bacterium. Its description in RNAcentral is "bacterial SSU rRNA". It matches the Rfam family "Bacterial small subunit ribosomal RNA", at positions 10 to 563 of the family's 1533-position model. The record is from RNAcentral.
AGUUUGAUCCUGGCUCAGGAUGAACGCUAGCGGGAGGCUUAACACAUGCAAGUCGAGGGGUAUAAUUAGCAAUAGUUAGAGACCGGCGCACGGGUGAGUAACGCGUAUGCAACCUGCCCUUUACCGGGGGAUAGCCCGUAGAAAUGCGGAUUAAUACCCCAUAGGUCUGUCAGAUCGCAUGGUUUGACAGAUAAAGCUGAGGUGGUAAAGGAUGGGCAUGCGUGACAUUAGCUUGUUGGUGAGGUAACGGCUCACCAAGGCUGCGAUGUCUAGGGGUUCUGAGAGGAAGAUCCCCCACACUGGUACUGAGACACGGACCAGACUCCUACGGGAGGCAGCAGUGAGGAAUAUUGGUCAAUGGGCGAGAGCCUGAACCAGCCAUCCCGCGUGCAGGAAGAAUGCCCUAUGGGUUGUAAACUGCUUUUUCGCAUGAAGAACAUCCCGAACGGGUUCGGGACUGACGGUAAUGCGUGAAUAAGCACCGGCUAACUCCGUGCCAGCAGCCGCGGUAAUACGGAGGGUGCAAGCGUUAUCCGGAUUUAUUGGGUUUAA